Molecule: small nuclear RNA, 107 nt
Organism: Callithrix jacchus (white-tufted-ear marmoset)
Lineage: Eukaryota; Metazoa; Chordata; Mammalia; Primates; Cebidae
Source: Ensembl
GUGCUCACUUCAGCAGCACAUAUACUAAACCUGAAGUGAUACAGAGAAGAUUAUUAUGGCCCCUGUGAAAGGAUGGCAUGCAAUUUUGUGAAGUGUUCUGUUUUUCU